Molecule: long non-coding RNA, 2137 nt
Organism: Rosa chinensis
Lineage: Eukaryota; Viridiplantae; Streptophyta; Magnoliopsida; Rosales; Rosaceae
Exons: 2
Source: RefSeq, a predicted model, not a curated record
AAAACUCAGAUAAUUAAUAGGCUUGAAAGACAACUUUUCAAUUUCCCUCUAUACCCUUAUUUAAUUUCAUCUAUGUUAAAACUCUUCAGUUAUCUCACAUUUAUCAACUUCAUUUUUUUUUCUUCUUUUAUUUUCUGAAUUGAUGUGGAACUUGAAGGGUUUCCAUUGACGAGGAAUCCUCCAAUCUCAUCUUUUCUCUUCACCGGGUCUGCAGGCAACAACGAGUAGCAGUGGUGGUUUUCAAAGACAACAAAGGCAACUAAUUAAUCUAAAUAUUCAGAUUGGAAUGAUCUAAUUUGUUCGUGGGGAAAAGACCGCUACUUCUUGGUUUCCACUCAAGACGAAGGAGCCUUGUGAUAGUUAUUGGAGUUUCAACUUAGAUGACAGAAGGGCAUUAAGGAUCCACACAGUUCUAAUAUCUUUCUGGCACCUCCCACUUGAUGGGAUCAUCAGGAGAAUUAAUUUAGUUGAUAGAGACCAUGACGAUUAAGUUUUCAAGUUGCUUAUGAAUUGCAACGUUUGAUUUGAUUACCAGGAACACUUUGUUCAUUGUGUUUUGUUAUCAUUAUUUGUGUACCACCACAUAUAAUCAGACUUGCAUUAUUCGUUGUUUGACCUGGUUAAGUACACAGAACUCCAGGGGCUCAGUAAAACCUUUACGUUUAGGCACUCGGAGCGUCUCUCUCUAAAAUCUAGAGAGAGAAAACAUAUCUGAAAAAAAAAAAAAAAAAAACCUUUCUCCCUCCCCCUUCUCUCUUGCCAGAUCUUGAUCCCUCCGGAUCUAGAUCGAAGGCUUGAGAGUUGGGGGCGGCCUCUCUCGUUUGGCUUCUCUGUUUUCUCAAUUCCUCAUCUUUUUCUCUUGCUUUUCUCACACCCCUGUGGUGAUUUUGCUAGCUCAUGUCCAGUUCUAGAGGACUUUGUUCCCUCCUUUCUUUGCCGAUCAACCCAAAAAAAAAUUCAGAUCCAAGAAACUCCAUGAUUCCCCUCACCCAUCACCUCACACCAGCUCCCCUCCAUCCACCAAAGACCUGCUCCAUGAAGGAUUUCGUGUCUACCUCUUAAAAGUGAGAAUCACUUACCAAAAGGAGUAUGGGUGUUCACGCAUGGGUGUUUCACCCCCCAUUCACCAUUGGAUUUUUUCUUUGCUAUUGGCUUCUGUCAUACUUCGGUGGCUUUGUUCCCUUCCCGGUUUGAGUCUCUCUGGUGGAGAAGAGAGAGACAAUGUGUGGUAUUGGUUUAUUUCUCUCAUCCCCUUUAAUUUUGGUUUUGACUAGAUCUGCUUUUUAGGAUUGUUCUGGCAACGGUUAUUCGGUACUCAUCACCUCGAUUUAGCACUUCUCGCAUCCUCUUGGCUUCUGGAAGCGGCGGCGGUGGCGACUGCAGCGGCUGUUCAGAACAGUUUGGGCGGCGGCGGUUGUGUUGGUAUUGUAGGAGUUGAUGUUUUAUUUAAUUUUUAGGGUUACACUAUUUUGCCCUAUCUAUGUGGAUUAUGGUUGAGUUGUAAUUUUCCUUAUUGAGUUUAUUUGUACUUGGGCCUUGUUUUGGGCACAUUCCAUUGGGUUUACUCCCAUUGGUAAUUAUUAAUGAAGCUUCAUUAAUAUCCAAAAAGAAAAAAGUGCAUAGAACUCCAAGGUAGCAAAUCGACGAGGUCAUAUUCUUGUAUUCCACCUACAGAAAGCCAAUCAAGUCAAUCCUAUGGUGUCUAUUUCUAAAUGGUCGAGAAGGGUUGUUUGAUCGUGAUAAAGCUGAGAGAGUGAUUUACAUCCUCUUGGAACUGUUCUUCUUAACUGCAAAAUGCUGAUGAGUCAAUUUGAUAUUCUGAACCUCAAGCACAUACAUAGAGAGGGUAAUGUGGUUGUUGAUAUCCUUGCCAAAGAAAGUGUGCAACAUGCUUCUGGGAUUUGCACUUUUCAAAGUCCUCCUAGUAUAGUUGUGGAAGCCUUGCUUGAUGAUAUUUGAGGUGUUUCUACUUUCUAGACCUCGACAAGUUUGUAAAAGUCAUCUUGGCUAGUUUGUCUUUUCUUGUUUGGGCUUCUUGCCUCCAUUGUACCAAAAAAAAAACUGAGAGAGUGCCACAAUGAGUGGUUGGUGAUGCAAUUGCAAAGAGUGAUGAAGGAAGAGGAACAUUUUUCAUUCA